RNAcentral lists this long non-coding RNA (350 nucleotides) under Nicotiana benthamiana. RNAcentral describes it as "long non-coding RNA (NBEN_LNC014960)". Lineage: Eukaryota; Viridiplantae; Streptophyta; Magnoliopsida; Solanales; Solanaceae. The record is from RNAcentral.
UUAGUUCCUCCCUGCUAGAUUCUAUUUUCUGUGUGAUGUUCUUAAAUUCUCUAACAUUUAGAGAAUUUAGAACAGGUUUAAGUGCCUUGAGGUUGUUCCAUAUCAACUUAAGAGUGCCCUGAUCAGAACUCCUCCAAUGUUCCUUCAUGAUGUUUUGGAAAACCUUGUGAUUAGCCCAUGCAUUGUAAAAUUUGAAGGAUGCCUUCCUGACAGUAAUAUCUUCCUUCAAAGUGAGGACCAUUGGAUUAUGAUCAGAGAUUAAAGGAGGGUCAUAUACAGUCUGUACAUGACUCCAUUUAAUCAUCCAGUCAUAAUUAUCAAAUAUUCUGUCUAAUCUACUACAAACUCUC